Molecule: long non-coding RNA, 472 nt
Filed under: Cucumis sativus (cucumber)
Lineage: Eukaryota; Viridiplantae; Streptophyta; Magnoliopsida; Cucurbitales; Cucurbitaceae
Description: long non-coding RNA (CSAT_LNC001901)
Source: RNAcentral
GGCCCUAUUUGAAAUAAAAAAAAAAAAUCUAAAAGUAAACAUGAGUUCUAAAAUAAAUUUCUGAUAAUUAAAUACUGAAAACCUAAAUGCGGAAGAAAACAUAAACUGUCCCCUAUGGUGAACCACGUCACUUAUUUUCAUUCGCCAACUUGUCUUUACCUCUACCUUUGCCUGAAAAUUUAAACAUAGAAAAGAGUGAAUAUAAAUUUAUACUCAGUAAAGGACCCACUAUUAGUCCCACUACGUGUAUGUUAACUUCCCAUUAGACCCACUAUUACCUCUACCUUUGUGGGGUGAUACUUGGUUCAGGGACAAUAGUAAAAGGCAUAGGGGUCUGUAAAAAUGUUGAACUGAUGAUUGGAGAUUGGAGGGUGAUAGAUAACUUCUUACCUUUGGAGUUAGAGGGGUAGAUAUGAUUCUCGAGAUGCAAUGGCUCCAUUCAUUAAGGGUUAUGGAAGUGGAUUGAAGGACC